This 450-nucleotide ribosomal RNA is filed under the name uncultured bacterium. RNAcentral describes it as "SSU rRNA". It matches the Rfam family "Bacterial small subunit ribosomal RNA", at positions 26 to 518 of the family's 1533-position model. The record is from RNAcentral.
AGAAUGAACGCUGGCGGCAUGCCUAACACAUGCAAGUCGAACGAAUUACCUUCGGGUAGUUAGUGGCGCACGGGUGCGUAACGCGUGGGAAUCUGCCCUUGGGUUCGGAAUAACAGUGAGAAAUUACUGCUAAUACCGGAUAAUGUCGCAAGACCAAAGAUUUAUUGCCCAAGGAUGAGCCCGCGUAAGAUUAGCUAGUUGGUGGGGUAAAGGCCUACCAAGGCGACGAUCUUUAGCUGGUCUGAGAGGAUGAUCAGCCACACUGGGACUGAGACACGGCCCAGACUCCUACGGGAGGCAGCAGUGGGGAAUAUUGGACAAUGGGCGAAAGCCUGAUCCAGCAAUGCCGCGUGAGUGAUGAAGGCCUUAGGGUUGUAAAGCUCUUUUACCCGGGAAGAUAAUGACUGUACCGGGAGAAUAAGCCCCGGCUAACUCCGUGCCAGCAGCCGC